Molecule: ribosomal RNA, 629 nt
Filed under: uncultured bacterium
Lineage: Bacteria
Description: partial 16S ribosomal RNA
Source: RNAcentral
ACUCCAUUGCCGAGUGGUUCCGAUACUGCCCAUCGCCCAGACUCUCCUACCGGGCGGUGUAACCCUGACUCUGUGCCGGGUCUGAGGAUGCCCUCCGUCGUCACCCCUUAUAACGCGUUACCGGCUUUCCGACUGCGUCGCUGCGGCGCACGCCCUCCUUCGGGAAGCCCCGCAUUUGGCGACAGUCACCCCUGCUUGGAGGCCCCACCCUUAUGACGGGGCCAGACUGCCAUGGGUGUCUCCUUCGUGGCCGAUUGAGGCACGGUCGUCGGCGCCAUCAUGCCUCCCACGCUCGCAACAAGCCUUAAUGACCCGCAUUUCUCGCGCAUCCGCCUGCACGUUCAGCCACCACUUUAGGGCCCCGAGUUGGGGCACUGACGAAGGCUAUGACGUACAGAUCCCUGGCCAUCUCCAGCCACCUUAAGGGCCACAUCGCCACCUUACGCAUCUAUAGCCCUCCUUGUGGACACCGCUUCCGCCGGCUGACCCGGCCUAGGCUGCGACUCCGCGCUUUCGCACCCCUCGUUUGUCCUAAUCUAUGGGACCAUCAGGUGCGGCAUUUGCUACCCACGAUCUACGGCCCCCCUCGCUGGGGAAGCCACAGCGUCGAUUGCGUAAUUCGUGGGGCG